GGCGGUGUAGCUCAGCUGGCUAGAGCGUUCGGUUCAUACCCGAAAGGUCGGGGGUUCGAUCCCCUCCGCCGCUA
Molecule: transfer RNA, 74 nt
Organism: Brevibacillus laterosporus LMG 15441
Lineage: Bacteria; Bacillati; Bacillota; Bacilli; Caryophanales; Paenibacillaceae
Rfam family: tRNA
About the family: Transfer RNA (tRNA) molecules are approximately 80 nucleotides in length. Their secondary structure includes four short double-helical elements and three loops (D, anti-codon, and T loops).
Source: Rfam